ACUGAUUAGAAGCUUGCUUCUAUGACGUUAGCGGCGGACGGGUGAGUAACACGUGGGCAACCUGCCUGUAAGACUGGGAUAACUUCGGGAAACCGAAGCUAAUACCGGAUAGGAUCUUCUCCUUCAUGGGAGAUGAUUGAAAGAUGGUUUCGGCUAUCACUUACAGAUGGGCCCGCGGUGCAUUAGCUAGUUGGUGAGGUAACGGCUCACCAAGGCAACGAUGCAUAGCCGACCUGAGAGGGUGAUCGGCCACACUGGGACGAGACACGGCCCAGACUCCUACGGGAGGCAGCAGUAGGGAAUCUUCCGCAAUGGACGAAAGUCUGACGGAGCAACGCCGCGUGAGUGAUGAAGGCUUUCGGGUCGUAAAACUCUGUUGUUAGGGAAGAACAAGUACGAGAGUAACUGCUCGUACCUUGACGGUACCUAACCAGAAAGCCACGGCUAACUACGUGCCAGCAGCCGCGGUAAUACGUAGGUGGCAAGCGUUAUCCGGAAUUAUUGGGCGUAAAGCGCGCGCAGGCGGUUUCUUAAGUCUGAUGUGAAAGCCCACGGCUCAACCGUGGAGGGUCAUUGGAAACUGGGGAACUUGAGUGCAGAAGAGAAAAGCGGAAUUCCACGUGUAGCGGUGAAAUGCGUAGAGAUGUGGAGGAACACCAGUGGCGAAGGCGGCUUUUUGGUCUGUAACUGACGCUGAGGCGCGAAAGCGUGGGGAGCAAACAGGAUUAGAUACCCUGGUAGUCCACGCCGUAAACGAUGAGUGCUAAGUGUUAGAGGGUUUCCGCCCUUUAGUGCUGCAGCUAACGCAUUAAGCACUCCGCCUGGGGAGUACGGUCGCAAGACUGAAACUCAAAGGAAUUGACGGGGGCCCGCACAAGCGGUGGAGCAUGUGGUUUAAUUCGAAGCAACGCGAAGAACCUUACCAGGUCUUGACAUCCUCUGACAACUCUAGAGAUAGAGCGUUCCCCUUCGGGGGACAGAGUGACAGGUGGUGCAUGGUUGUCGUCAGCUCGUGUCGUGAGAUGUUGGGUUAAGUCCCGCAACGAGCGCAACCCUUGAUCUUAGUUGCCAGCAUUCAGUUGGGCACUCUAAGGUGACUGCCGGUGACAAACCGGAGGAAGGUGGGGAUGACGUCAAAUCAUCAUGCCCCUUAUGACCUGGGCUACACACGUGCUACAAUGGAUGGUACAAAGGGCUGCAAGACCGCGAGGUCAAGCCAAUCCCAUAAAACCAUUCUCAGUUCGGAUUGUAGGCUGCAACUCGCCUACAUGAAGCUGGAAUCG
This 1283-nucleotide ribosomal RNA is filed under the name Priestia megaterium. RNAcentral's name for it is "bacterial SSU rRNA". It matches the Rfam family "Bacterial small subunit ribosomal RNA", at positions 69 to 1334 of the family's 1533-position model. The record is from RNAcentral. Lineage: Bacteria; Bacillati; Bacillota; Bacilli; Caryophanales; Bacillaceae.